RNAcentral lists this transfer RNA (76 nucleotides) under Tissierellia bacterium. RNAcentral describes it as "tRNA-Ala". It matches the Rfam family "tRNA". From Rfam's summary of the family: Transfer RNA (tRNA) molecules are approximately 80 nucleotides in length. Their secondary structure includes four short double-helical elements and three loops (D, anti-codon, and T loops). Lineage: Bacteria; Bacillati; Bacillota; Tissierellia. The record is from RNAcentral.
GGGGCUUUGGCGAAGUUGGGAUCGCGUCUGACUGGCAGUCAGAAGACCAGGGGUUCGAAUCCCCUAAGCUCCACCA